Molecule: long non-coding RNA, 182 nt
Organism: Octopus sinensis (East Asian common octopus)
Lineage: Eukaryota; Metazoa; Mollusca; Cephalopoda; Octopoda; Octopodidae
Exons: 3
Source: RefSeq, a predicted model, not a curated record
UGUAUUUUAACAUGUAUAAGGAACCCAUUUUUGUCAAAAAUUAGGUUAAAAAAGUAUGGGAGUUUCUUAUACAUGGAUAGUAUUAUAAUCCCUUAGAAAACCUUUUCUCCAAAUUUUAAGUCCCCAAAAUUAGGGGAUUCCUUACACAUAUAUAUAUAUAUUAUACACACACACACACACAC